UAUCAACAGACUGGAGAACUUGGAAGUAUUAUGAAUACAUGGAGGAUGCACUGAAAUGUAAACACUGGGUAGCCAUGCCAGAGUUUUGUAUGCUGAAGGUAAACUGAAGACACUUGAGCACUGACUUACAUGCUGUUAACUUGAUUCAGGCUAUAACAACAAAGAACAAUCAUCCAUACAAGUUCUUGGCUUGACAAGUGUCAGAAAUCCAGGAUGCAAGGGGGGUUUCAGCAAUACCCAAGGUAAAGAGGUGAGAUACCCAAGCUUACUUGAAUUCCUUGCUGAGUUUACAGUGUGAUAGACACUUCAUCCUCAAAGUUUCAUCUUC
Long non-coding RNA from Molossus molossus (Pallas's mastiff bat), 328 nucleotides. RefSeq lists it as uncharacterized. The transcript is spliced from 3 exons. Lineage: Eukaryota; Metazoa; Chordata; Mammalia; Chiroptera; Molossidae. The record is from RefSeq and is a predicted model, not a curated record.